This is a long non-coding RNA of Notothenia coriiceps (black rockcod), 281 nucleotides long. RefSeq lists it as uncharacterized. The record is from RefSeq and is a predicted model, not a curated record. The transcript is spliced from 3 exons. Lineage: Eukaryota; Metazoa; Chordata; Actinopteri; Perciformes; Nototheniidae.
CACAUUGCCCUGAAGCGUUUCAAUUGCACCGGAAGAUCAGAGGGGGCGCUAUUAAGUGCGGACGGAAGUUCUCCUCUCCCUGUUCUACCAGUGUUACUUGUUGAUGGAAGCAUUCUCUCAGACACACGACAAACGGACCGUGUAGCGGGUUGAGUCUCGCCCUGCGUCCAAGUCACGCUCCGGCACGCUGUCGACUAGGCUCAUUGUACUGUAGGCUCAUUUCCUUGUGUGACUGUUGCUGUGAAUGUGGCAGUGAAAGGUUUGUGCUGUAGCAGUAUCUA